UCUUGGUCAAUUUAGAGGAAGUAAAAGUCGUAACAAGGUUUCCGUAGGUGAACCUGCGGAAGGAUCAUUAAAGAAUAAACUUGGUUGGGCUGUUGCUGGCUCCUUGGAGCAUGUGCACGCCUACCACCAUCUUUUACCACCUGUGCACCUUUUGUAGACCGUUUUGGAAGAUAGAGGGCUGCUGUGCGAAAGCUAGCUUUCCUUGCAAUAUUUCGAGCGGUUUAUGUUUUCAUACACUCCAAAGUAAUAGAAUGUCAUUAAAUGGCCUUUGUGCCUUUAAAAACAAAAUACAACUUUCAACAACGGAUCUCUUGGCUCUCGCAUCGAUGAAGAACGCAGCGAAAUGCGAUAAGUAAUGUGAAUUGCAGAAUUCAGUGAAUCAUCGAAUCUUUGAACGCACCUUGCGCUCCUUGGUAUUCCGAGGAGCAUGCCUGUUUGAGUGUCAUUAAAUUCUCAACUCUUUCAGCUUUUGCUAUAAGAGAUUGGAUGUGGGAGUUUGCAGGCUGAAAAGUCAGCUCUCCUUAAACGCAUUAGUAAAACCUUGGUUUAAUUGUCUUAUGGUGUGAUAAUUAUCUACGCCUUGAGUAAAAUUGAGGUUCUGCUCAUAACCGUCCUUUUUUCAAGGACAACACUGACAAUUUGACCUCAAAUCAGGUAGGACUACCCGCUGAACUUAAGCAUAUCAAUAAGCGGAGGAAAAGAAACUAACAAGGAUUCCCCUAGUAACUGCGAGUGAAGCGGGAAAAGCUCAAAUUUAAAAUCUGGCAGUCUUUGACUACCCGAGUUGUAAUCUAGAGAAGCAUUAUCCGUGCUGGACCGUGUACAAGUUCUCCUG
Molecule: ribosomal RNA, 835 nt
Filed under: Lyophyllum maas-geesterani
Lineage: Eukaryota; Fungi; Basidiomycota; Agaricomycetes; Agaricales; Lyophyllaceae
Description: eukaryotic LSU rRNA
Rfam family: 5.8S ribosomal RNA (bases 292-445)
Source: RNAcentral